Long non-coding RNA from Oncorhynchus tshawytscha (Chinook salmon), 1754 nucleotides. The record is from Ensembl. NCBI's taxonomy places the organism in Eukaryota, Metazoa, Chordata, Actinopteri, Salmoniformes, Salmonidae.
UCUCUCUCUUUCAUUCUCUCUCUGUUUCUCUCUCUCUCUCUCUCUCUCUCUGCUUCUCUCUCUUCUUCUCUCUCUCUCUGCUUCUCUCUCUCUCUGCUUCUCUCUCUCUCUGCUUCUCUCUCUUCUUCUCUCUCUCUCUGCUUCUCUCUCUCUCUGCUUCUCUCUCUCUCUGCUUCUCUCUCUCUCUUUCUCUGUCUCUCUCUCUCUCUUUCUCUCUCUGCUUCUCUCUCUCUCUGUCUCUCUCUCUCUCUUUCUCUCUCUGUUUCUCUCUCUCUCUCUGUCUCUCUCUUUCAUUCUCUCUCUGUUUCUCUCUCUCUCUCUCUCUCUCUGCUGAUCUCGCUCUUCUUCUCUCUCUCUGCUUCUCUCUCUCUCUGCUUCUCUCUCUUCUUCUCUCUCUCUGCUUCUCUCUCUCUUCUUCUCUCUAUCUCUGCUUCUCUCUCUCUCUGCUUCUCUCUCUCUGCUUCCCUCUCUCUGCUUCUCUCUCAUUUCUCUCCACCCUCCUCCUCUCUGCUCCCUCACUCAUUCCCUAUCUCUACCUCCUCUCUCCCUCUCUCCCUCUUCUCUCUACAUCCUCUCUACCUCCUCUCUCUACAUCCUCUCUCUCUACCUCCUCUCUCUCUCUCUACCUCCUCUCUCUACAUCCUCUCUCCCUCUCUACAUCAUCUCUCCCUCUCUCCCUCUUCUCUCUAUAUCCUCUCUCUCUACCUCCUCUCACUACAUCCGCUCUCCCUCUAUCUCCUCUCUCCCUCUCUCUCUACAUCCUCUCUCUCUACCUCCUCUCACUACAUCCUCUCUUCCUCUAUCUCCUCUCUCUACAUCCUCUCUCCCUCUUCUCUCUACAUCCUCUCUCCCUCUCUACCCCCUCUCUUUACAUCUCCCUUCAUCCCUAUCUCCCUCCUCCCUCUACAUCCUCCCCCUCUCAUCUCCCUUCAUCCCUGUAUGUACUUCCCCUAGGGUCCCACAGCUUGGGGGGCAACCUUUUCCUCUCUACCUCCACUCUAAAAUAGCAGCCACAACCUUUAAACAUGCUAUUAACUGUGGGAUGGGGAAAUAAAAGGUCCCAGUGAGUUCCCAGAGGAGAUCUACUGACCUGAGGCUGCUUUAACUCAGACAACCUGUUGUUCCUUCUCUCCCCGUCUCUCUGUCUGUCUCUCUGUCUGUCUGUCUGUCUGUCUGUCUGUCUGUCUGUCUGUCUGUCUGUCUGUCUGUCCCUCUUUCUCAAAUUCUCCCCUUUGGGAGACAUACAGUUAGUGUUUGAGUUCUCUUCCAUUUCAGACCAAAACAUCAGCCCCAAACACACACCCAUUCACACAGACAUGAGGAGGAGGAGGAGGAGGAGGAGGAGGAGGAGAGAGCAUUCAUAGUUUACACUUCAGAAAUACUUGUCAUUCUCAGGAUGAACAUUUUAUUUCUAAUGCAGCCAUGGUUUUCUACCUCCCCCUGCUUUUACAUCUCAGGGUCUGGAGCCUGUAAACAGCCUGCUAGACCGAAAGAGAUGGUAUCUCCUGUACUUUUCCUCUCUCUCACCCCGUCAUAUUUCUCUCUCUCUCUCUGUCUCUCUCUCACCCUGUCAUAUCUCUCUCUCUCUCUCUCUCUGUCUCUCUCUCUGUCUCUCUCUCUGUCUCUCUCUCUGUCUCUCUCUCUGUCUCUCUCUCUCUCUCUCUCUCUCUCUCUCUCUCUCUCUCUCUCUCUCUCUGUCUAUCUCUCUGUCUCUCUCUCACCCUGUCAUAUGUCUCUCUCUCUGUCUCUCUCUC